Gallus gallus (chicken) is the source of this 3295-nucleotide long non-coding RNA. The record is from Ensembl. NCBI's taxonomy places the organism in Eukaryota, Metazoa, Chordata, Aves, Galliformes, Phasianidae.
GUGGGGAGUCCUUAGGGGAUGACAAAGUCACGGGGACACUAUAGAGGGCAUGGGGAGUUCUUAGGGGAUGAUGGGGUCGUGGGGACUCCAUAUGGGACAAUGGAGAUGCCAUAGAGGACAUGGAGGUGGUGAGGACUACAUAGGUGUCCCGGGGACAUCACAGGGGACGGUGGGGUUGUGGGGAUUCCAUAGGGGACGAGAGGGUCACGGAGACACCAUAGAGGACAUGGAGGGUCCUUAAUGGGGACACCACGGGGGACAUCGGGACACCUUAGGGGAUGAUGGGGUCGUGAGGACACCAUGGGGGAUGUGGGGAGUCCUUAGGAGAUGACAAAGUCACGGGGACACUAUAGAGGGCAUGGGGAGUCCUUAGGGGAUGAUGGGGUCGUGGGGACUCCUUAUGGGACAAUGGAGAUGCCAUAGAGGACAUGGAGGUGGUGAGGACUACAUAGGUGUCCCGGGGACAUCACAGGGGACGGUGGGGUUGUGGGGAUUCCAUAGGGGACGAGAGGGUCACGGAGACACCAUAGAGGACAUGGAGGGUCCUUAAUGGGGACACCACGGGGGACAUCGGGACACCUUAGGGGAUGAUGGGGUCGUGAGGACACCAUGGGGGAUGUGGGGAGUCCUUAGGAGAUGACAAAGUCACGGGGACACUAUAGAGGGCAUGGGGAGUCCUUAGGGGAUGAUGGGGUCGUGGGGACUCCAUAUGGGACAAUGGAAAUGACGUGGAGGUGGUGAGGACUUCAUAGGUGUCCCGGGGGCAUCACAGGGGACGGUGGCACUGUGGGGGUGGUGGGGCUCAUGGGGACACAGUAGGGGACACCCCAGGGAACAACAAGGCCGUAAGGACUCCAUAGAGGGCAUAUGGGGCUGUGGAGGCCCCACAGAGGACAGGGAGCUGCUCUGUGCACAGCGUUGCACAGUGCUCAUUGCACAGCGCUGCACAGCACAUCGGUGCACAAUGUGCUCAGCUCACCAUGCACAGCACUGCACAGUGCUCAUUGCACAGCACUGCACAGCACAUCGAUGCACAGCGUUGCACAGUGCUCAUUGCACAGUGCUGCACAUCACAGUGGUGCACAGUGUGCUCAGCUCACAUUGCUCAGCAUUGCACAGUGCUCAUUGCACAGCACUGCACAGCACAUCGGUGCACAGCGUUGCACGCUGCUCAUUGCACAGUGCUGCACAGCACAUCGGUGCACAGUGUGCUCAGCUCACCAUGCACAGCACUGCACAGUGCUCAUUGCACAGCGCUGCACAGCACAUCGAUGCACAGCGUUGCACAGUGCUCAUUGCACAGCGCUGCACUCCACAGUGGUGCACAGUGUGCUCAGCUCACCAUGCACAGCACUGCACAGUGCUCAUUGCACAGAGCUGCACACCACAGUGGUGCACAGUGUGCUCAGCUCACGUUGCACAGCGUUGCACAGUGCUCAUUGCACAGCGCUGCACACCCCAUCGGUGCACAGUGUGCUCAGCUCACAGUGCACAGCGCUGCUCACUGCUCACUGCACAGCGCUGCACUCCACAGUGGUGCACAGUGCUGCACACCACAUCGGUGCACAGUGUUGCACAGUGCUCAUUGCACAGCGUUGCACACCCCAUUGGUGCACAGUGUGCUCAGCUCACAUUGCACAGCGCUGCACAUCACAGUGGUGCACAGUGUGCUCAGCUCACCAUGCACAGCACUGCACAGUGCUCAUUGCACAGCACUGCACACCACAGUGAUGCACAGUGCUGCUCAACUCACCAUGCACAGCGUUGCACAGUGCUCAUUGCACAGCGCUGCACAUCACAGUGGUGCACAGUGUGCUCAGCUCACGUUGCACAGCAUUGCACACUGCUCACUGCACAGUGCUGCACACCCCAUCAGUGCACAGUGUGCUCAGCCCACCAUGCACAGCAUUGCACAGUGCUCAUUGCACAGCGCUGCACACCACAGUGGCGCACAGUGUGCUCAGCUCACAGUGCACGGCACUGCACAGUGCUCAUUGCACAGUGCUGCACACCCCAUCGGUGCACAGUGUGCUCAGCUCAUGGUGCACAGCGUUGCACAGUGUGCUCAGCUCACAGUGCACAGCAUUGCACGCUGCUCAUUGCACAGCGCUGCACACCCCAUCGGUACACAGUGUGCUCAGCUCAUGGUGCACAGCGUUGCACAGUGCUCAUUGCACAGCGCUGCACUCCACAGUGGUGCACAGUGCUGCACACCACAUCGGUGCACAGUGUUGCACAGUGCUCAUUGCACAGCACUGCACACCACAUCGGUGCACAGUGUGCUCAGCUCACAUUGCACAGCGCUGCACACCACAUCGGUGCACAGUGUGCUCAGCUCAUGGUGCACAGCACUGCACAGUGCUCAUUGCACAGCACUGCACAGCACAUCGGUGCACAGCGUUGCACAGUGCUCAUUGCACAGCGCUGCACACCACAGUGGUGCACAGUGUGCUCAGCCCACCAUGCACAGCAUUACACAGUGCUCAUUGCACAGCACAUCGGUGCACAGCAUUGCACAGUGUUCAUUGCACAGCGCUGCACACCACAGUGGUGCACAGUGUGCUCAGCUCACCAUGCACAGCACUGCACAGUGCUCAUUGCACAGCGCUGCACACCCCAUCGGUGCACAGUGUGCUCAGCUCACCAUGCACAGCAUUGCACACUGCUCAUUGCACAGCACUGCACACCACAUCGGUGCACAGUGUGCUCAGCUCACAUUGCACAGCGCUGCACAUCACAGUGGUGCACAGUGUGCUCAGCUCACGUUGCACAGCGCUGCACACCACAUCGGUGCACAGUGUGCUCAGCUCAUGGUGCACAGCACUGCACAGUGCUCAUUGCACAGCACUGCACACCCCAUCGGUGCACAGUGUGCUCAGCUCACCAUGCACAGUGUUGCACAGUGCUGCACACCCCAUCGGUGCACAGUGUGCUCAGCUCACAGUGCACAGCAUUGCACGCUGCUCAUUGCACAGCGCUGCACACCCCAUCGGUGCACAGUGUGCUCAGCUCAUGGUGCACAACGUUGCACAGUGUGCUCAGCUCACGUUGCACAGCGCUGCUCACUGCUCACUGCACGGCUGUGCUCAUUGCACAGCGCCGUUUCCUGCUCUCCCUGCACAGCGCUCAUUGCCGUCGCUGCUUUCCGGUGCUUUCUCAGCCCCCGCAGCCGCUGCCGAGCCGUGCACACACGUCAGGGUUGCACGUCGUUGCACGCAGAACCGUUUGCACGCGUCCUGCGGCGCUGCAACGGCAUCUGCGCGUGCAACGCACGCGGCUGCGUGCACGGGGCGCG